This is a long non-coding RNA of Chrysemys picta bellii (western painted turtle), 5086 nucleotides long. RefSeq lists it as uncharacterized. The record is from RefSeq and is a predicted model, not a curated record. Lineage: Eukaryota; Metazoa; Chordata; Testudines; Emydidae.
AUGGAUCUGUAGGAGUAGGUGCGGGCUGAGCAACAACAUGAUUACUUGAAUUGCUGUUUGCGCUGCUGUGUUUUUCUGAGCAGCUGCUGGCUUGGAACAUCUCCUCCCCACUCUUCUCUCCGCUGUGACUCACACUGCCAGCUCCUUUUGCAGACGGUUGCCUGCAUAUCAUUGAGUCCGUUUCAGCCUUUUGCACCUCAGCGGCUAAGGGGUUCCCGUCAGUUUGGUCGAAAGGAGUGUUUUCUCGCACGCUUCCAAAACAGAAUGAACCAAACCAGACUUCCAGUUCCCGACCACAGAUGGCUAAUUAGGAUCCUGGAAUGAGGAAAUCUGUUCAGUGGCCUUCUGCUCUUGGAAUGGGCCCUCUGUGAUGCAGCUGAUACCGAGACCGACAUACCUUUCAUUGAUUCAGCCUUUCCCUCACUCUCUACUGCGCACAUGUAACCAAAUUUAAACAAGCUGGACUUGCAGCUUCCCCUCCAGUCCAGAUUUUGUAUCAUUACUUAUUCUUCACUAUGGGGCAAGAGUGUACAUUGUACUGCACAAAGACAUGAGUCACAGUCCCAUGAGUCCCUAAGGAACUCUCAGUCUGAUUCCAGCCCCGAUGAUACCGUAUGCGCUGAGCAAUGGUGCAAACAAUAACAGGUGGCAGUGUCUAGGAAAGACCAUCGCAGAAAGGCAUUACACUCGAGGAAGAUGCCUUGGCACUAUUCCUCCUUCCUGGAACAACAUCCCAUGGUCGAGGAAACCGAAGCCCUUCAUUCAACACCAUCUGUGCAGCCAUGCUUUCAUCUGGGUCAGACCUGGCAGUAUCAUUAGUGCCCGCACGGAUGAGCAGCAUGGGGUAGUGGUCAGAGGGACAGAUGAGCCUCAGCAACCUUUCAGCGAUGUCUCAGAUUCAGACUCCAAACAGGCAGCACACACUCCGGCCUAGAUACUGGAACUAGGGGUGCAGAGGGUGCUGGCUUGAAGUGGUUUCCAUCACAUAUAGGGUUUACAGUUUGGUUCAAUGGCUCUCAGCACCCCCACUAUACACAUUGUUCCAGCACCUCUGCCCCCAGGAACAUCAGGUCAGGUUGGCAGAUGGAUGCCUCCAUCCCUCUUAGAAGGGAGUCCCCAACCACCAACACUCUGCAUCUCUUGGGUGUGGUUGCCGUGACCCUCCCAGCCUUGGGGACCAGGGGGUCUCUUCUUCCUCAGCCUUGGGAAACUGCUUCUCUGCUCCUGUUGACAGAACAGCAAACUGGUUCUUGAUAUUUAUUGCAUUGGGACAAAUUCUUUGCAAGUUUAAAUUGGCACAGCUCCAUUGACUUUUACUUUGCUAAUGCUUAGCUCGGUGUUCUUCACUAUUUUUGAAGUGGGGGCGACUUUGGCAAAAAACCUUCAAUGUGACACAGACAGUGGAACACAUACCCAACACAGACGGUUGAACACUCCGAGUUCUUUGUUGGUUGAUAUGGUGAAUGCGGUAAGGAUUCAAGAACCUGGGAAGAUGGUAUAAGUGUGUGGAUUCACUACCCAGUGACAGAUUUAGUAUCAACAGCCACUAAUACAGAGAUUGUGUCGACUACAGAGGCUGCUGUGAGGGCCGUAGCCUUUACAGCUACUCAACAAACCCAACCCCUACUGGAAUGGAGAAAAGUAGAAGACAGGGUCAAAGAGGAAGUCAUGGCUCAACUCAAUAUCCUACAGGCCCAAAGGGUUGAGGACUUGCAAGAACUCGAAGAGAGGUGCUCCUCGAGACAGGAUGUGAGCUCAAGCUAUACAGUGGGAACAGGACUUGGCCAGAAUUGAAAAAAAGAGAUUUGGGAACAAGUGUUUGAUGCUGCAGAAGGAGCAGAAUAAGCUCCAGAACUUGCUUCAGGUCCAACUUGCUUCAGGUCCAGCAUGGAUAAAGGUAAAGAACUGGAGAGCCUGAAGGAGUCAUCCUCAUGUAACAUUGACAGACCCCAGUUGUCGUUGGGCAGGACUGAACCUGGGACCUUUGGAGCUUAAUGCAUGAGCUAAAAGUCAUGGGGCUCUUAGCUAAGGCUGUAGCAGACUCAUUAAUCUCUGAGUGGACUCGCUGCCACUAGAGGGGACAGAACACCACACCCAGGAGGUGUGUGGUUACACUUAGAAAAGAGUUGUAGUGGUUGCACCCUGAGACAGUUGAAAUUAAGAGCUGCCAUGCCCUAGCUCAGAUGAUACAGGAACACAACAAGGCUGCAAGGCAAGGCCACAGCCAGACCCCAGCUAAAAAGAGCUCUCCCCAGGAGGAAAAAGGAAGAUUAAAAAUGAUCCUAACAUACUGAAUGACAUCCAGUACUUGGUCCUGCUAGUGAAGGCAGGGGGCUGGACUCAAUGACCUUUCAAGGUCCCUUCCAGUUCUAGGAGAUAGGAUAUCUCCAUUAAUUUAUUUAUUUAUUAUUUAUUAUCCAUGCAACAGUGUAGUUACAGAAAGAACAACAGCAGGUGCUACUAAGCCAGAUACUAAAAGCUGUGGGCAAAACAGUACAGAAGUCCUGCUGAAUCUGUAUAAAGAUAUCCUUAACCAGCCACUGGCAAAGUGACCCAGCACCUGAGAAGAAGACAAGGCUCGUUUAGAAGCCCAAGCAAAGGACUGAAUUUAAAGGCCCUAGAGCUGCAACUGAAGACCCCGACAAGGGCAGACAGUUUGUUGGGCUUUUUGCUAUCCCAGAAGGGGUUCCUUUUUGACUGUGUGACCUGACCAGAGAGCCAAGCCACUGAAGACCCACCAAGAAAGGUCAGCAACAUACAGGGGGCUCCAGUCGCAGAAAAAGGCCUGCAGUACUGCAUGCAGCAACAGGAGGCACUCGAGGAGUGUCCCCUGUUACAAUUUCCCAUAACCCAUCUUGGAGCUAUGUCAUUAACACAAUACUUUUGCAUUCAUACAGGUCCUUCCAGCCAAGGGUCUCAAAAUGCUUCAUACACAUUAAUUAAUUAAGCCUCACAACACUUCUUUGACAUGUUAUUAGCACCAUUUAAUAGGUGUGGAAACUGGGGCCCAGAGAGGUGAAAGGCCAACGUUUUCAAACCUUGGCAUCUGCUGCUGGGCACCUAAAUCCAGAUUGUAAUACUGCAUGCAGAUAACGUAAACUGAACAUGCAUUGAAAGGGGCCGAUUUCCCCCCUCAUUUCAUGAGUUACAAAUAUUUGAACUUGCAGAGUAAGUCCUGGCAUCACGAGUUACUACCCUGGAGGAAAUUCCAGUAGAAAAUGUUCAGUGGGUUCCUACUAGUUCCAGUUGUUAACUAGGGAUCCAGUUCAGCAAAGCACCCCUAUUCAGUAAAGCACUUGCUUAAAGUUCAGUGUAUGCUUAAAUGCUUUGCUGAGCUGGGGUAUAGGUUUGGAACAGAGCAAUCAGUCUUUUAGGUCCUGGGGCAGUUGAUCCUCCAGUAAGAACUACCAGAGGCCAGCAGAAUCUGCCAGUGACUACUUGAAUGAUUUUAAUGGAGUCUAUUGAAGUUUCCAGUAGGGUAAUCUGGGGAACAUGCUGCUUAUUUGUUCUUUUGUUUUACUAAUGUGAAGUGCAGGUGUAAUUUUAUUUGCAACAUCCUGGUAUCUGCCCCGGAGGAUAAUCCAAUGUGUGCAUGAAUAUGAUGAUUUGCUACAAAUGUUGUUUUUUUUAAUGGUAACUUGUCCAAAGGUCUCAAGUCUAGCUAUAAAGUAUGGAAAUAUGGACGAUAACCUGGUGGCCUUGUGUAGUUAACCAUGUGCGCUCUUUCCAAAGUGAAGAAUUAGGCAGGGAGCUGCUGACUGAAUGGAGCAAGAGAAGGGAUUUAGCAAGUCAUUGAUUAUUUUAUUCAGUUCAGUGCUGUUUACAAGCAAACAAAAUCAGUUGGAUUCACUGGUCAAUUAUCCCAGGAUUGUUCGGUGCAGGAAAGCAGCUUUGUCUAGGGGACAGUCAUUUAAUGACUCUUGUUGCAGGUCUGGAUUUUGGUUGUCUCAGGCUGUCAGACAAUAGAAUUUUUCCAUCUCAGUGACUAAAACUUGUGACUCGGUGUAUUAUAAAGGAGGUGUGGUUACCACUUACCAGGCUAUCCAUGUCCUUUCAAGGAAAAAGAAGAAAAGCAACAACUCAACUCUUGGACAACAGCAACGGGAAUUUUAUAGGUGUUUGUUAUGUAAAAAAACUAACAAAAAGCCCAGUGAUGUUGGUUAAUAAACCCUUUGGCACCAAGCUUUGCCAAUGCUUAAAACUUUACUGCAAAAUCACCAAUCUGCCAAACAGUCUCCAAGCUGCAAAAUACUUAUCGGGUGGUAAUUGUAUGAUAUGUUCAUGCCACCUACAGGAAAUAACACAUCCCUUCAAGAGAUUUUGCUUGUAAAGCUUUGCAUUAAUCCUUUUUUUUUUUUUAAUUGCUGUUGUGCAAGAUUGAUGAUCUAGUAUCAUUGGACACCCCGCUCAUAAAAAAAAAUCCUAUUCAAGUUAUCGUUAAUUAACCAAAACAUUUAAUGCAUCUAAUUCACUAAUGGCAGAUUUUAUAAAGUAUUUAAUAGUCACUUUCCCCUCUCUGUGUCCCAGUUACCUCAACUGUGAAAUAGGGAUAAUGAUAAUGACUUCCUUUGUAACGCGCUUUGAGAUCUAUUGAUGAAAAGCUCUAUGUAAUAUUGUUAUUAUACCUUACAACUAUAUCACAUUUUUCAUCCAAAGUGCUCUGAGAAUUAUCACUCCACUGAAAUCCAUCCAACUCUGGGGAGCAGCAGUUUAACAUACACACUACACAACAGUUUAGGACAGGAAAUGAAGAGUACCCCUGUGUCCAUCUGAAACUGAAGAAAGUAUUCUGACGUAGGCAGAAUGUAGCUACACUGUAUGGAAUUUAGCUGGGGGGUGGGGAGAGGUUAAUAGCCCUAAUUUUAUAAAAACUUCCAUGAGAACUUUCAUGAUCACAAGUGAUCAGAACCUCAGUUUUACAUCUCUUCAAAAAGCCAGCACCUCCAGUAGCACGAUGCUCCUAAUAACACAGUGAGGAAUUUGGUUCUGUACUAACUCAGAGGGGAAAGGUUUCAGAGUGGUAGCCGUGUUAGUGUGUAUCAGCAAAAAGAACAGGAAUACUUGUGGCACCUUAGAGACUAACAAA